Molecule: ribosomal RNA, 253 nt
Filed under: uncultured bacterium
Lineage: Bacteria
Description: partial 16S ribosomal RNA
Rfam family: Bacterial small subunit ribosomal RNA
Source: RNAcentral
UACGUAGGUGGCAAGCGUUAUCCGGAAUUAUUGGGCGUAAAGCGCGCGCAGGCGGUUUCUUAAGUCUGAUGUGAAAGCCCACGGCUCAACCGUGGAGGGUCAUUGGAAACUGGGAAACUUGAGCGCAGAAGAGAAGAGUGGAAUUCCACGUGUAGCGGUGAAAUGCGUAGAGAUGUGGAGGAACACCAGUGGCGAAGGCGACUCUUUGGUCUGUAACUGACGCUGAGGCGCGAAAGCGUGGGGAGCAAACAGG